UACGUAGGGGGCAAGCGUUAUCCGGAUUUACUGGGUGUAAAGGGAGCGUAGGCGGCAGUGCAAGUCAGAAGUGAAAGCCCGGGGCUCAACUCCGGGACUGCUUUUGAAACUGUACAGCUUGAUUGCAGGAGGGGCAAGUGGAAUUCCUAGUGUAGCGGUGAAAUGCGUAGAUAUUAGGAGGAACACCAGUGGCGAAGGCGGCUUGCUGGACUGUAAAUGACGCUGAGGCUCGAAAGCGUGGGGAGCAAACAGG
RNAcentral lists this ribosomal RNA (253 nucleotides) under uncultured bacterium. RNAcentral describes it as "partial 16S ribosomal RNA". It matches the Rfam family "Bacterial small subunit ribosomal RNA", at positions 524 to 776 of the family's 1533-position model. The record is from RNAcentral.